AACCCAUGAUGAGGGCACCUUCUCAAUAAAUCUUUGAAUCUCUCCCAUGCUUCAUAUAAUGUCUCUAAAUUGAUCUGGGCAAAGGAGUAAAUGUCAUUCCUCAACUU
Non-coding RNA from Gossypium arboreum, 107 nucleotides. The record is from Rfam. NCBI's taxonomy places the organism in Eukaryota, Viridiplantae, Streptophyta, Magnoliopsida, Malvales, Malvaceae.